CCUACGGGAGGCAGCAGUGGGGGAUAUUGCACAAUGGGGGGAACCCUGAUGCAGCGACGCCGCGUGAGUGAAGAAGUACCUCGGUAUGUAAAGCUCUAUCAGCAGGGAAGAAAAUGACGGUACCUGACUAAGAAGCCCCGGCUAAAUACGUGCCAGCAGCCGCGGUAAUACGUCUGGGGCAAGCGUUAUCCGGAUUUAUUGGGUUUAAAGGGUGCGCAGGCGGAGGUGCAAGUCAGCGGUCAAAUUGCGGGGCUCAACCCCGUACUGCCGUUGAAACUGCAUCCCUUGAGUGAGCGAGAAGUAUGCGGACUGCGUGGUGUGGCGGUGAAAUGCAUGGAUAUCACGCAGAACUCCGCUUGCGACGGCAGCAUACCGGCGCGCAACUGACGCUCAUGCACGAAAGCGUGGGUAUCGAACAGGCUUCGCUACCCGUGUAGU
RNAcentral lists this ribosomal RNA (438 nucleotides) under uncultured bacterium. RNAcentral describes it as "partial 16S ribosomal RNA". It matches the Rfam family "Bacterial small subunit ribosomal RNA", at positions 338 to 794 of the family's 1533-position model. The record is from RNAcentral.